UUAUUCGGUGGUAAAUACGUAUACCAAAUCAGGAAUGCUACACGGAAGAUCAGCAUGGCCUUGCGCGUAGAUGACACGCAAAAUCGUGAGGCAUUCCACAUUAUG
Small nuclear RNA from Schistocerca gregaria, 105 nucleotides. Lineage: Eukaryota; Metazoa; Arthropoda; Insecta; Orthoptera; Acrididae. The record is from RefSeq and is a predicted model, not a curated record.